This 21-nucleotide unclassified non-coding RNA is filed under the name Chlamydomonas reinhardtii. Its description in RNAcentral is "small RNA Cre_3250". Lineage: Eukaryota; Viridiplantae; Chlorophyta; Chlorophyceae; Chlamydomonadales; Chlamydomonadaceae. The record is from RNAcentral.
UGGAGCUGCUGGCAUUCGUGG